This 740-nucleotide ribosomal RNA is filed under the name Falspleuroxia sp. FC-2016. RNAcentral's name for it is "partial 16S ribosomal RNA". The record is from RNAcentral. Lineage: Eukaryota; Metazoa; Mollusca; Gastropoda; Stylommatophora; Camaenidae.
CACGAAACAAGGCGAGCUAACAAAAUAUAUUUUUAGAAUAGCGUAUGUUACAUAAUACUAAUAAAUACUUUGUUAGGGAUGAAAUGUCUAUCAAGUCUUGUGAUAUCUUGAUAUUUCCAAAAUGUAUUUAGUACAAUUACAACUAGAGAGUGCCAAGGUUCUUUAGUAUUAUAAAAUAAUAUUUAAUAUAAUUGCACUAUUUAACCGUUAGCAAUUUUUUUUUUUAAUUAUAAUUAUAUAUAGAUUAUAGUUUUUAGGAAAUCACUUUAAACAUACUAACAAGUUGUUAAUGUUAUUAUAAGUACUUAAUAGAUAUUAAAAAUGAACUCGGCAAUAACCUCUGCAACUGUUUACCAAAAACAUAGCUAUUAGAAAUUAUUAAUAGUUAAUUCUGCUCAAUGAAAUAUUAAAUAGCCGCAGUACCCUGACUGUGCAAAGGUAGCAUAAUCAGUUGGCUUAUAAUUGAAGUCUUGUAUGAAAGAAACUAUGUGGAGUAACUAUAUUACUAAUACCAAAUGAAAUUACUCAGCAAGUGCAAAUACUUGUUAAUUAAUAAUAGACGAGAAGACCCUAGAAAUUUUAAGAAUUACUAAUUAAAGGUUUUUGUUGGGGCAACAGCGUGACAAAUAAUUCACGUUAUUUACCAGAAAAAAAUUUGCUAGAAUAAAUUACUCUAGGGAUAACAGCGUAAUGUAUAAGCGAUUGCGACCUCGAUGUUGGAUUAGGAAACGAAUGCUUAG